GGAGGGCCGUAUUUAUUAGAUAACAGACCAAUAUUCCUCGUGUCUAUUGUGGUGAAUCAUAGUAACUUAAUCGGAUCGUAUGGGCUUUGCCCUCGACAAACCAUUCAAGUUUCUGCCCCAUCAGCUUUCGAUGGUAGUGUAUUGGACUACCAUGGCUUUCACGGGUAACGGAGGAUUAGGGUUCGAUUCCGGAGAGGGAGCCUGAGAAACGGCUACCACAUCUAAGGAAGGCAGCAGGCGCGUAAAUUACCCAAUUCUGACUCAGAGAGGUAGUG
This 275-nucleotide ribosomal RNA is filed under the name uncultured eukaryote. RNAcentral describes it as "partial small subunit ribosomal RNA". It matches the Rfam family "Eukaryotic small subunit ribosomal RNA", at positions 195 to 469 of the family's 1831-position model. The record is from RNAcentral.